AUUGAACGCUGGCGGAAUGCUUUACACAUGCAAGUCGAACGGCAGCACGGGGGCAACCCUGGUGGCGAGUGGCGAACGGGUGAGUAAUACAUCGGAACGUGCCCGGUCGUGGGGGAUAACGUAGCGAAAGUUACGCUAAUACCGCAUACGAUCUGAGGAUGAAAGCGGGGGACCUUCGGGCCUCGCGCGAUCGGAGCGGCCGAUGUCAGAUUAGGUAGUUGGUGGGGUAAAGGCCUACCAAGCCGACGAUCUGUAGCUGGUCUGAGAGGACGACCAGCCACACUGGGACUGAGACACGGCCCAGACUCCUACGGGAGGCAGCAGUGGGGAAUUUUGGACAAUGGGCGCAAGCCUGAUCCAGCCAUUCCGCGUGCAGGACGAAGGCCUUCGGGUUGUAAACUGCCUUUGUAUGGAACGAAAAGGCUCUGGCUAAUACCUGGGGCUCAUGACGGUACCGUAAGAAUAAGCACCGGCUAACUACGUG
RNAcentral lists this ribosomal RNA (484 nucleotides) under uncultured bacterium. Its description in RNAcentral is "partial 16S ribosomal RNA". It matches the Rfam family "Bacterial small subunit ribosomal RNA", at positions 30 to 507 of the family's 1533-position model. The record is from RNAcentral.